CAAUGUGUGCUAGGAUCAAUUUUCAGUUCCUUGGCUUUUUUGUUUAUCCGUUGGGUUAACUGAUUGGGUGUUUGUUUAUCUGUUUGCUUGCUUUUUGGAUUCACUGUGUUCUGGAUUAAAAUGCAGGAGUCCCUAGUCCAGUGUUGACUUGAAUCCUGAACCAAUAUGUGUCCUUGAGUGGACACCUUAUCCCCUCUGAACCUCCACUUCCCCAUCUUUUCUCACACUAGGGGAACAAAUCCACACCCUGCCCUUCCCAUUCUCAGGUUGAAGUGAGAAUCCAACCGCAGUGGAGGUGCCAAGCCCUGGAGGAAUGCAAUGACGCUGUGCCUGUUAUUGUUCCCCAGGACACUACUGUAGCACUCAAGACCAGCCUCCACUCCAGCCUUGGCAUGGCCUCCCGGUGUCAAGCCAAUGCCCUUCUGAUCGUUAUAUUGGCAUAAAGAAGCUGAAGCUAGGCUGUGUUUGAGGCUGUCUAUAUACUUCCAAGAUAGGGUGGAGCACCAGGGAAGAGGAGGACAGCCAGCUCUGGCAUGGAGUUGUGAGAGAAUCAGCCAUAUGCUAUUGAUUGAGGACUUCCCCAGCUUCACCAACCCUGAAGAAGGCAGGACUGGGAUUACAGAUGUGCACCAUCAAGCCUGGAUUAUUUUACAAGAGAAUAUAAAAAAAGAUAAGAAAAAUACUUUCACAGAGGCAGGCUGCUUUGUUGCAAAUACAAUCUAUGCUUUUUGCAUGAUUGCAACUUUUCAUAAAAUUGCCAUGAACCUGAAUUUUAGUAUUGAGAAUGUUUGCCCAUUGUAUCAUAUCUAUUUUAGAUUCUACCUGUAUUCCUAUUUUCAAUAACACCAUUAAUUUCAAAUAUAGGCCCGAAUAAGAAAAAAGAUGGCAGAAUAGAGCGGACUUCAUUGUUAGAGAGAAACAGAACUAAAGAUUCAGUGGCCAAUUGGCCCGCAGGUCCAGCCUGUGGUGUGGAUCCUGCCCCCAGACACCCUGCCCAACCACACUAGUGCCCUGAAUCUAAGCAGCAAGACAUGAGAGAUGAAAAAUGGUCCUUUUUCUGGGUUAAGUCUCCUCAAGCAUCUAAAGAAAUGUUCAACAUCUUUAGUCAUAAGGGAAAUGUAAAUCAAAACAACCCUAAGAUUCCACCUCACACCAGUCAGAAUGGCUAAGAUCAAAAACUCAGGUGACAGCAAAUGCUGGCGAGGACGUGGAGAAAGAGGAACAUUCCUCCAUUGUUGGUGGGAUUGCAGACUGGUACAACCAUUCUGGAAAUCAGUCUGAGGUUCCUCAGAAAACUGGACAUUGCACUACCUGAGGACCCAGCUAUACCUCUCUUGGGCAUAUACCCAAAAGAUGCUGCAACAUAUAACAAAGACACAUGCUCCACUAUGUUCAUAGCAGCCUUAUUUAUAAUAGCCAGAAGCUGGAAAGAACCCAGAUGCCCUUCAACAGAGGAAUGGAUACAGAAAAUGUGGUACAUCUACACAAUGGAAUAUUACUCAGCUAUCAAAAACAAUGACUUUAUGAAAUUCAUAGACAAAUGGAGGGAACUGGAAAAUUUCAUCCUGAGUGAGGUAACCCAAUAGGAGGGAACUGGAAAAUUUCAUCCUGAGUGAGGUAACCCAAUCACAGAAAAAUACACAUGGUAUGCACUCAUCGAUAUGUGGCUAUUAGUGCAAAUUCUUGAAUUACACUAGAUGCACAGAACA
This is a long non-coding RNA of Rattus norvegicus (Norway rat), 1709 nucleotides long. RefSeq lists it as uncharacterized. The record is from RefSeq and is a predicted model, not a curated record. NCBI's taxonomy places the organism in Eukaryota, Metazoa, Chordata, Mammalia, Rodentia, Muridae.